Molecule: unclassified non-coding RNA, 253 nt
Filed under: Hevea brasiliensis (rubber tree)
Lineage: Eukaryota; Viridiplantae; Streptophyta; Magnoliopsida; Malpighiales; Euphorbiaceae
Source: RNAcentral
AGCAAGCUUUGGUUCAACUCUUUGAGUAUAGGCCCUGCCUUUGGAAUUCACCACUAACCAUUGUCGAUCCCAUCGAAAUCCAGUAGAAGUGAUAGGUGCUUGAGAAACAGAAAUUCCACGGCAUGAUUUAAUUGGAUAUACAAAGAUUGAUUUAACCUGAGCUGCUGCUGGCGCUCCUAUUACUUCUGCCAUCAAGUGUGUGAUUUGAUGCUUCUCAAUCCAAAUAUGGUUCCCAUUAUAAAAAUUUUUUAGA